RNAcentral lists this ribosomal RNA (485 nucleotides) under uncultured bacterium. RNAcentral describes it as "partial 16S ribosomal RNA". It matches the Rfam family "Bacterial small subunit ribosomal RNA", at positions 29 to 507 of the family's 1533-position model. The record is from RNAcentral.
AUGAACGCUGGCGGCGUGCCUAAUACCUGCCAGUCGCACGCUGGAGAUCUAGCUUGCUAGAUCGAAGGAGUGGCGAACGGGUGAGUAAUACAUAAGCAACCUACCCACGAAGACUGGGAUAAUCUCUGGAAACGGGGACUAAUACCGGAUAGGUAAUCGGAAGGCAUCUUCUGGUUAUUAAAGGUUAAAAACACUGGUGGAUGGGCUUAUGGCGCAUUAGUUAGUUGGUGAGGUAACGGCCCACCAAGACGAUGAUGCGUAGCCGGCCUGAGAGGGUGAACGGCCACAUUGGGACUGAGACACGGCCCAGACUCCUACGGGAGGCAGCAGUAGGGAAUUUUCGGCAAUGGGGGCAACCCUGACCGAGCAACGCCGCGUGAGUGAAGACGGCCUUCGGGUUGUAAAGCUCUGUUGUAAGGGAAGAACGGUAGAUAGAGAAUAUCUAAGUGACGGUACCUUACCAGAAAGCCACGGCUAACUACGUG